RNAcentral lists this ribosomal RNA (314 nucleotides) under Psoroptes ovis (sheep scab mite). Its description in RNAcentral is "partial 28S ribosomal RNA". It matches the Rfam family "Eukaryotic large subunit ribosomal RNA", at positions 1856 to 2152 of the family's 3401-position model. The record is from RNAcentral. Lineage: Eukaryota; Metazoa; Arthropoda; Arachnida; Sarcoptiformes; Psoroptidae.
GCAGCAGGUCUCCAAGGUUAACAGCCUCUAGUUUCUAGAAUAAUGUAGGUAAGGGAAGUCGGCAAAACAGAUCCGUAACUUCGGGAUAAGGAUUGGCUCUGAAGGAUGGGCCGUUCGGGCUGUGGCCAGAAACAGGUGAUGCGUCUGGCUGGGACUGGACACUGGCAACGGUGUCCGGACCCGUGCUGAUGUCUGCCUGCGGACGGCCAUGGCUACGCCUCUGGGCCCUGUGCUUGGAGUGUCGUUUCGGGCGGCAUUCAACAUCCGACUCAGAACUGGCACGGACCCCGGGAAUCCGACUGUCUAAUUAAAAC